Molecule: long non-coding RNA, 1183 nt
Filed under: Cyanistes caeruleus (blue tit)
Lineage: Eukaryota; Metazoa; Chordata; Aves; Passeriformes; Paridae
Description: lncRNA (ENSCCEG00000015924.1)
Source: RNAcentral
CAUCCGGUCGUGUCUACUUCAAUACAUUUCAGCAACUGCCAGGGUUCUUUGACAAUUAUUGUGAUGUUACACAAAUAAUUACAGUUCCCCUCUGUUCUUUCCUAUUUAGUAAGAAUGAUUCCCUGGAAUGUCGGGGGUGGCCGGGGGUGUCAGACUGCCAAGAUGUGCUGCGGAAUGUGGAACUCGGAGUAGGCAGUGAAACAGGAUCAUGUGAAGUCAUACCAUGUGAAGAAAAACACCUCCAAACACAAGACACUCAUCUGUUGGAAACAGACCAAGAGCCACUAAGGUGAUCACAGCUGGAGCAUCUCUGCUAUGGAGACAGGCUGAGAGAGCUGGGGCUCUUCAGCCUGGAGAAGAGAAGGCUCUGGGGACACCUUAUAGCGCCUUCUGUGACCUAAAGGGGCUUACAGGGAGGAUGGAGAGGGACUUCACAAAGAGUUGUAGUGAAAGGACAAAGAAGAGUGAUCUUAAGAUGAAGGAGGUGUUUGGUUAGAGGGUUUGAUUGGAGGAUUGAUUUGGAUCACCCCAGACAAGAGAAGAAGCUGACAGUGCACUUCAUUAGAAUGAACACUGUGUUACUGAAAGGCGUGUCUUGGAUGAUUACAAACUUGUUUAAACUGUAAUGGAGCUAUUACAUACAACAAUGUAUUACAUUACAAUGUACAUACAUUACAUAUUACAUACAUCACAGAUUUAAUUUUGAAAAUAACAUCAGCCUGCUCUUUCAAGUACAAUCCAGAAUGUACAGUCUUUCAGUGAAAAUUUUUUUAAAAAUCAUUAAACAGUAGUUUACACUUAGAUAUGAGAUUUAGAUAUUGAUAUUCAAAUUAUUAGCUAUAAAUAAUUAAUUUAUCUUGCUACACCAGAACAAGUCCUAAAACCAGUGAAGAACGAGUGAAUUUCAGCCUUUCUGUACAGGCUUGAUUAGAAGAUCUUGGAGGGGAUGGCACCAUCAUCAGGUCUGAUUUCUUUCUCUGAUUGGGAUUGUCAGUCCAACAGUCUUAGUUGGAAAGAUCCUCUUUUUGUUCACAAUAAUAAGGUAUGAAGUUGAAAAUGUUGAAAUACAUUUUUCAGCUUUAUUGCUGAAAAAACAGAUGAUGACUGCACUAAGGAAGUGCACCAGCAAAAACAAGAAUAACAAGUUUUUCAUGCUCCCUAUAGUCAUUGAUGUUUAAUUCUC